RNAcentral lists this ribosomal RNA (110 nucleotides) under Fasciola gigantica. The record is from RNAcentral. Lineage: Eukaryota; Metazoa; Platyhelminthes; Trematoda; Plagiorchiida; Fasciolidae.
ACGACCGUACCACUUUGGAAACUAGUUCUCGUUCGAUCACCAAAGUUAGGCAACGUUGGUCCCGGUUGGUACUCACAUGAAUGACCUGUUGGAAACACGGUGUUACGUUC